This 75-nucleotide transfer RNA is filed under the name Syntrophomonas zehnderi OL-4. RNAcentral's name for it is "tRNA-Thr". It matches the Rfam family "tRNA". From Rfam's summary of the family: Transfer RNA (tRNA) molecules are approximately 80 nucleotides in length. Their secondary structure includes four short double-helical elements and three loops (D, anti-codon, and T loops). Lineage: Bacteria; Bacillati; Bacillota; Clostridia; Eubacteriales; Syntrophomonadaceae. The record is from RNAcentral.
GCCGAUGUGGCUCAGUGGCAGAGCAGCUGAUUCGUAAUCAGCAGGCCGGCGGUUCGAAUCCGCCCAUCGGCUCCA